This 163-nucleotide microRNA precursor is filed under the name Pelobates cultripes (western spadefoot toad). The record is from RNAcentral. Lineage: Eukaryota; Metazoa; Chordata; Amphibia; Anura; Pelobatidae.
GUACAUGUGUACCUCUAUGUGUGUCAUUGUUAGUAUAUGUAUAUGUGUUAGAUUGUGUAUCUGCAUGUGUAUCUGUGUGAUGCACACACAGAUACACAUGCAGAUAGACAAUCUAACACAUAUACAUAUACUAACAAUGACACACAUAGAGGUACACAUGUGU